Molecule: ribosomal RNA, 414 nt
Filed under: uncultured bacterium
Lineage: Bacteria
Description: bacterial SSU rRNA
Rfam family: Bacterial small subunit ribosomal RNA
Source: RNAcentral
UGGAGCGAGAAAGUGGAGCAAUCCAUGAGUAAAGUGGCGACCGGGCUGAGUAACACGUGACUAACCUACCUCCGAAUGGGGAAUAACUCCGGGAAACCGGGGCUAAUACCGCAUAACACCGCAAGGUCAAAGCAGCAAUGCGUUUGGAGAGGGGGUCGCGGCUGAUUAGCUAGUUGGCGGGGUAACGGGCCACCAAGGCGAAGAUCGGUAUCCGGCCUGAGAGGGCGCACGGACACACUGGAACUGAAACACGGUCCAGACUCCUACGGGAGGCAGCAGUGGGGAAUUUUGCGCAAUGGGGGAAACCCUGACGCAGCAACGCCGCGUGGAGGAUGAAGCCCCUUGGGGCGUANACUCCUUUCGACCAAGACGAUAAUGACGGUACUGGUGGAAGAAGCACCGGCUAACUCUGUG